UCAUGAAAGAGUCACAAUGGCCCUUCAUUGUGCCCAGGAAUUACAAUAUACCUGCCUGAUAGUGGUGCGUACCAGCUGUUUGAGGAGUAAAGUAAACUCCAGUUUAAGAAAGGGGUCAUGAGAGAAGAUGACAUCUGACCCAAGACUUGAAAACAGAUUUUUUUUUCUUAUUUGAAACUUUUUUUAAGUGCUAAAGAGUAAUCCCAUAGAGAAGACAGUCUCCAGGAUCUGGAACAGGAAACUGAAACAGACUGGGGUGGCCAAUGCACUGCGGGCCCUUCCUCAGCUUAUGCCUACAGCAAAUAAGCCUGGGGAUGGCUGGCCCAGCAGGUGAGUGCUGUUCCAUGUCACCCUGAGGACCUGCAGGACUCUCACAAUUGGUGUGCAACGUUCUGUCUGCUUAGUGCCCUCCCAACCCUGCAGAAGGAUGAACAGAUGAGGGAACCCUAGAAAAUGCUGAUCUGGGAGAGUUCCUGACAACCCACUGUGUUACUGUGGUUGUAAAGUGGGCGGCGGCUGGGGUUCCUGUAGCUGAGUCACAGCUCUGACAACUUUCACUGCAUUUCUCAGAAAGAAAACAAAAAAAGACUCAGUCCCAAAACCCACCACUCUAGCCCCCAACUCUGUGUCACUUGAACGGGGAGGGGAUGGGGGUAGCGUCAGUCUCACAACUGGGGUGUCCCCACUCAUCGAGCAACUUCUCACCGGCGCCAAGCCUCGUGGUCCAGGGAGCGCUAGCCAAGUGCCACCAAGCCCCGGGCGAAAGGAAGAGAAACGAGCCGCGUCCUCACCUGCAGG
Mesocricetus auratus (golden hamster) is the source of this 798-nucleotide long non-coding RNA. RefSeq lists it as uncharacterized. The record is from RefSeq and is a predicted model, not a curated record. NCBI's taxonomy places the organism in Eukaryota, Metazoa, Chordata, Mammalia, Rodentia, Cricetidae. The transcript has 3 exons.